Molecule: non-coding RNA, 45 nt
Filed under: Schistosoma mansoni
Lineage: Eukaryota; Metazoa; Platyhelminthes; Trematoda; Strigeidida; Schistosomatidae
Source: RNAcentral
AUCCAUUUGACGAGUCCCAAAUAGGACGAAAAGCGUGUCUUGGGU